RNAcentral lists this ribosomal RNA (511 nucleotides) under uncultured bacterium. Its description in RNAcentral is "bacterial SSU rRNA". It matches the Rfam family "Bacterial small subunit ribosomal RNA", at positions 1 to 507 of the family's 1533-position model. The record is from RNAcentral.
CGAUACGAGUUUGAUCCUGGCUCAGGAUGAACGCUAGCGGCAGGCCUAACACAUGCAAGUCGAGGGGCAGCAGGGGUAGCAAUACCCGCUGGCGACCGGCGCACGGGUGAGUAACGCGUAUGCAACCUACCCUCCGCAGGGGGAUAGCCCGCCGAAAGGCGGAUUAAUACCCCAUCGUCCCGGUGAACGGCAUCGUUUACCGGGUAAAGGAGCAAUCCGGCGGAGGAUGGGCAUGCGUGCCAUUAGCUAGUUGGCGGGGUAACAGCCCACCAAGGCGACGAUGGCUCGGGGGUCUGAGAGGAUGGUCCCCCCACACUGGUACUGAGACACGGACCAGACUCCUACGGGAGGCAGCAGUGAGGAAUAUUGGUCAAUGGGCGAAAGCCUGAACCAGCCAUGCCGCGUGCAGGAAGACGGCCCUACGGGUUGUAAACUGCUUUUCCGGGGGAAGAAUAAGGGCGAUACGUCGUCCGAUGCCGGUACCCCGGGAUAAGGAUCGGCUAACUCCGUG